CAUCAACCGAGAUUCCGAAAGUAGUGGCGAGCGAAAUCGGAGCAGCCUUCUAGUGAUAGCACGACGGUUAGCAAAACGGCCUGGAAAGGCCGGCCAUAGCGGGUGAUAGCCCUGUAUGCGAAAACCGACGUGUGGUACUAGGCUAGAGACAAGUAGGGCGGGACACGUGUAAUCCUGUCUGAACAUGGGGGGACCAUCCUCCAAGGCUAAAAUACUCAUCAUCGACCGAUAGUGAACAAGUACCGUGAGGGGAAAGGCGAAAAGAACCCCGGGAGGGGAGUGAAAUAGAUCCUGAAACCGCAUGCUUACAAAAAGUCGGAGCCCUUCGGGGUGACGGCGUACCUUUUGUAUAAUGGGUCAGCGACUUACAUUCAGUGGCAAGGUUAACCGAAUAGGGAAGCCGAAGAGAAAAUCGAGUCCGAAUAGGGCGUUCAGUCGCUGGGUGUAGACCCGAAACCAGGUGAUCUAUCCAUGGCCAGGAUGAAGGUGCCGUAACAGGCACUGGAGGUCCGAACCGACUAGUGUUGC
RNAcentral lists this ribosomal RNA (528 nucleotides) under uncultured bacterium. Its description in RNAcentral is "bacterial LSU rRNA". It matches the Rfam family "Bacterial large subunit ribosomal RNA", at positions 223 to 792 of the family's 2925-position model. The record is from RNAcentral.